This 74-nucleotide transfer RNA is filed under the name Pteropus alecto (black flying fox). It matches the Rfam family "tRNA". From Rfam's summary of the family: Transfer RNA (tRNA) molecules are approximately 80 nucleotides in length. Their secondary structure includes four short double-helical elements and three loops (D, anti-codon, and T loops). Further hydrogen bonds mediate the characteristic L-shaped molecular structure. tRNAs have two regions of fundamental functional importance: the anti-codon, which is responsible for specific mRNA codon recognition, and the 3' end, to which the tRNAs corresponding amino acid is attached (by aminoacyl-tRNA synthetases). tRNAs cope with the degeneracy of the genetic code in two manners: having more than one tRNA (with a specific anti-codon) for a particular amino acid; and 'wobble' base-pairing, i.e. permitting non-standard base-pairing at the 3rd anti-codon position. Lineage: Eukaryota; Metazoa; Chordata; Mammalia; Chiroptera; Pteropodidae. The record is from Rfam by way of RNAcentral.
GGCUCCAUAGUAUAACGGUUAGCAUGUCUGCUUUACACACAGAAGGUCCUGGGUUUGUGCCCCAGAUGGAGCCA